AACCUCAGGUGAUCUGCCCACCUCAGCCUCCCAAAGUGCUGGGGUUACAGGCGUGAGCCACUGCCCCUGGCCUUAUAGUUUAUCUUCUAGUGGUCUUCGGUCCUCAUUUGAAAAUGUGAAAAGUGGGUACCUGAGAUAAUUCACCAUUUUGAAGAUUCAUUGUUUCUUGGAACCGAAAUCGAUCUCAGAAGUAUACCCCUGCACUACUGAGAAACUUAACCAAGGACAAAUACAAUCCCUUCACUCCACAGACAGCUGACAUGAUGGGCUGUGACCUGAAGGUUAUUGAACAGUUGGAGUGUUCUGCAUUCAUGUGGAAGAGGCUAAAGGAUGUUUGAUGAAGCACUAUGGGCUGCCCUGGAAGAGGACUGAAGAAGCAGCUGCAGAACAAAGCCUUCCCGCUUCCUGAAAGAAAACUCCAUUGUGCUGCCUUUUCAAGCUGCUGUGAAUGCUUUGAAUUCAAACUAACUAUUGAGCCUAUGCUCAACCUGACCACACUGCCUAGGAGGGGGUAAGUAACCUGCCACCUGCCCUUUCCUGCAGAAUGCCUACAGAUGCUGUCCAUACUCAUGAAGCUGAUGUCAUAGGUAAAUCAAACUGUUUGGGACUGACUGUCCCAGGUAGUGCCUCUGAAACCAAGGACUGAACUGCCUUGGUGAGUUCAGUGAGAACCUAGAGUGAGAGGGCCCAUAGUAAAAGGCCGCAAAUUGUUGAUGGGAGACUUAUGCUUGUCCUAUGCGAUUCCACUGGAGAAGACUCUUGGAAUCUUGCAGACGUUAUUCCCCAUACUUUGCCCACAUGCCUUUUCCCUUUGCAGACUGUGUUUUGUAUCGUUUCAUUGUAAUAAAUCUUAGUUGUGAGUAUGCCUGUA
Molecule: non-coding RNA, 871 nt
Organism: Macaca mulatta (Rhesus monkey)
Lineage: Eukaryota; Metazoa; Chordata; Mammalia; Primates; Cercopithecidae
Source: RefSeq, a predicted model, not a curated record